Molecule: ribosomal RNA, 100 nt
Filed under: uncultured bacterium
Lineage: Bacteria
Description: partial 16S ribosomal RNA
Rfam family: Bacterial small subunit ribosomal RNA
Source: RNAcentral
CACACCGCCCGUCACACCACGAAAGCCCGUUGUACCAGAAGUCGCCAGAGCUAACCCGCAAGGGAAGCAAGCGCCCAAGGUAUGACUGGUGAUUGGGGUG